GUCCCACUCCUUCCCAUCCCGAACAGGACAGUGAAACGCCUUCGCGCCGAUGAUAGUGGAUGUACAUCUGUGAAAGUAGGUCAUCGUCAGGC
RNAcentral lists this ribosomal RNA (92 nucleotides) under Bordetella bronchiseptica OSU054. Lineage: Bacteria; Pseudomonadati; Pseudomonadota; Betaproteobacteria; Burkholderiales; Alcaligenaceae. The record is from RNAcentral.